This 2278-nucleotide ribosomal RNA is filed under the name Escherichia coli. Its description in RNAcentral is "partial 23S ribosomal RNA". It matches the Rfam family "Bacterial large subunit ribosomal RNA", at positions 1 to 2305 of the family's 2925-position model. Lineage: Bacteria; Pseudomonadati; Pseudomonadota; Gammaproteobacteria; Enterobacterales; Enterobacteriaceae. The record is from RNAcentral.
GUUAAGCGACUAAGCGUACACGGUGGAUGCCCUGGCAGUCAGAGGCGAUGAAGGACGUGCUAAUCUGCGAUAAGCGUCGGUGAGGUGAUAUGAACCGUUAUAACCGGCGAUUUCCGAAUGGGGAAACCCAGUGUGUUUCGACACACUAUCAUUAACUGAAUCCAUAGGUUAAUGAGGCGAACCGGGGGAACUGAAACAUCUAAGUACCCCGAGGAAAAGAAAUCAACCGAGAUUCCCCCAGUAGCGGCGAGCGAACGGGGAGGAGCCCAGAGCCUGAAUCAGUGUGUGUGUUAGUGGAAGCGUCUGGAAAGGCGCGCGAUACAGGGUGACAGCCCCGUACACAAAAAUGCACAUGCUGUGAGCUCGAUGAGUAGGGCGGGACACGUGGUAUCCUGUCUGAAUAUGGGGGGACCAUCCUCCAAGGCUAAAUACUCCUGACUGACCGAUAGUGAACCAGUACCGUGAGGGAAAGGCGAAAAGAACCCCGGCGAGGGGAGUGAAAAAGAACCUGAAACCGUGUACGUACAAGCAGUGGGAGCCUCUUAAUGGGGUGACUGCGUACCUUUUGUAUAAUGGGUCAGCGACUUAUAUUCUGUAGCAAGGUUAACCGAAUAGGGGAGCCGAAGGGAAACCGAGUCUUAACUGGGCGUUAAGUUGCAGGGUAUAGACCCGAAACCCGGUGAUCUAGCCAUGGGCAGGUUGAAGGUUGGGUAACACUAACUGGAGGACCGAACCGACUAAUGUUGAAAAAUUAGCGGAUGACUUGUGGCUGGGGGUGAAAGGCCAAUCAAACCGGGAGAUAGCUGGUUCUCCCCGAAAGCUAUUUAGGUAGCGCCUCGUGAAUUCAUCUCCGGGGGUAGAGCACUGUUUCGGCAAGGGGGUCAUCCCGACUUACCAACCCGAUGCAAACUGCGAAUACCGGAGAAUGUUAUCACGGGAGACACACGGCGGGUGCUAACGUCCGUCGUGAAGAGGGAAACAACCCAGACCGCCAGCUAAGGUCCCAAAGUCAUGGUUAAGUGGGAAACGAUGUGGGAAGGCCCAGACAGCCAGGAUGUUGGCUUAGAAGCAGCCAUCAUUUAAAGAAAGCGUAAUAGCUCACUGGUCGAGUCGGCCUGCGCGGAAGAUGUAACGGGGCUAAACCAUGCACCGAAGCUGCGGCAGCGACACUAUGUGUUGUUGGGUAGGGGAGCGUUCUGUAAGCCUGUGAAGGUGUGCUGUGAGGCAUGCUGGAGGUAUCAGAAGUGCGAAUGCUGACAUAAGUAACGAUAAAGCGGGUGAAAAGCCCGCUCGCCGGAAGACCAAGGGUUCCUGUCCAACGUUAAUCGGGGCAGGGUGAGUCGACCCCUAAGGCGAGGCCGAAAGGCGUAGUCGAUGGGAAACAGGUUAAUAUUCCUGUACUUGGUGUUACUGCGAAGGGGGGACGGAGAAGGCUAUGUUGGCCGGGCGACGGUUGUCCCGGUUUAAGCGUGUAGGCUGGUUUUCCAGGCAAAUCCGGAAAACCAAGGCUGAGGCGUGAUGACGAGGCACUACGGUGCUGAAGCGACAAAUGCCCUGCUUCCAGGAAAAGCCUCUAAGCAUCAGGUAACAUCAAAUCGUACCCCAAACCGACACAGGUGGUCAGGUAGAGAAUACCAAGGCGCUUGAGAGAACUCGGGUGAAGGAACUAGGCAAAAUGGUGCCGUAACUUCGGGAGAAGGCACGCUGAUAUGUAGGUGAAGCGACUUGCUCGUGGAGCUGAAAUCAGUCGAAGAUACCAGCUGGCUGCAACUGUUUAUUAAAAACACAGCACUGUGCAAACACGAAAGUGGACGUAUACGGUGUGACGCCUGCCCGGUGCCGGAAGGUUAAUUGAUGGGGUUAGCGGUAACGCGAAGCUCUUGAUCGAAGCCCCGGUAAACGGCGGCCGUAACUAUAACGGUCCUAAGGUAGCGAAAUUCCUUGUCGGGUAAGUUCCGACCUGCACGAAUGGCGUAAUGAUGGCCAGGCUGUCUCCACCCGAGACUCAGUGAAAUUGAACUCGCUGUGAAGAUGCAGUGUACCCGCGGCAAGACGGAAAGACCCCGUGAACCUUUACUAUAGCUUGACACUGAACAUUGAGCCUUGAUGUGUAGGAUAGGUGGGAGGCUUUGAAGUGUGGACGCCAGUCUGCAUGGAGCCGACCUUGAAAUACCACCCUUUAAUGUUUGAUGUUCUAACGUUGGCCCGUAAUCCGGGUUGCGGACAGUGUCUGGUGGGUAGUUUGACUGGGGCGGUCUCCUCCUAAAGAGUAACGGAG